GCCCAGUUAGCUCAGACGUAGAGCACCAGAAUCUUAAUCUGGCUGUUGCGGGUUAGAGCCCCGCAUCGGGCU
Non-coding RNA from Teladorsagia circumcincta, 72 nucleotides. Lineage: Eukaryota; Metazoa; Nematoda; Chromadorea; Rhabditida; Trichostrongylidae. The record is from the annotation of a GenBank genome assembly.